GACGAACGCUGGCGGCGUGCUUAACACAUGCAAGUCGAACGAAGAGCGAUGGAAGCUUGCUUCUAUCAAUCUUAGUGGCGAACGGGUGAGUAACGCGUAAUCAACCUGCCCUUCAGAGGGGGACAGCAGUUGGAAACGACUGCUAAUACCGCAUACGAUCUAAUCUCGGCAUCGAGGAUAGAUGAAAGGUGGCCUCUACAUGUAAGCUAUCACUGAAGGAGGGGAUUGCGUCUGAUUAGCUAGUUGGAGGGGUAACGGCCCACCAAGGCGAUGAUCAGUAGCCGGUCUGAGAGGAUGGACGGCCACAUUGGGACUGAGACACGGCCCAGACUCCUACGGGAGGCAGCAGUGGGGAAUCUUCCGCAAUGGACGAAAGUCUGACGGAGCAACGCCGCGUGAGUGAUGACGGCCUUCGGGUUGUAAAGCUCUGUUAAUCGGGACGAAAGGCCUUCUUGCGAAUAGUGAGAAGGAUUGACGGUACCGGAAUAGAAAGCCACGGCUAACUACGUG
This 510-nucleotide ribosomal RNA is filed under the name uncultured bacterium. Its description in RNAcentral is "partial 16S ribosomal RNA". It matches the Rfam family "Bacterial small subunit ribosomal RNA", at positions 28 to 507 of the family's 1533-position model. The record is from RNAcentral.